GUGCUCACUUUGACAGCACAUAUACUAAAAUUAGAAUGAUACAGAGAAGAUUGGCAUAGCUCCUUCACAAGGAUGAUAUGCAAACUCACGAAACAUUCCAUAUUAUU
This is a small nuclear RNA of Hyaena hyaena (striped hyena), 107 nucleotides long. The record is from RefSeq and is a predicted model, not a curated record. Lineage: Eukaryota; Metazoa; Chordata; Mammalia; Carnivora; Hyaenidae.